GAUGAAGAACGCAGCGAAAUGCGAUACGUAAUGUGAAUUGCAGAAUUCAGUGAAUCAUCGAAUCUUUGAACGCAUAUUGCGCUCUCUGGUAUUCCGGAGAGCAUGCUUGUUUGAGUAUCAGUAAACACCUCAACUUCCAUAUCUUUUUUGAAAUGGGAGUUGGACUUGAGUGAUCCCAACGCUUUUCCUCACCGAAAAGUGGCGGGUUACUUGAAAUGCAGGUGCAGCUGGACUUUUCUCUGAGCUAUAAGCAUAUCUAUUUAGUCUGCCUAAAAAACAGAUUAUUACCUUUGCUGCAGCUAACAUAAAGGAGAUUAGUUCUUGUGCUGACUGAUGCAGGAUUCACAAGACAGGCUUCGGCCGACUUUGUAAACUCGAUCUCAAAUCAAGUAAGACUACCCGCUGAACUUAAGCAUAUCAAUAAGCGGAGGA
This 432-nucleotide unclassified non-coding RNA is filed under the name soil metagenome. Its description in RNAcentral is "partial contains 5.8S ribosomal RNA, internal transcribed spacer 2, and large subunit ribosomal RNA". The stretch from base 1 to 120 matches the Rfam family "5.8S ribosomal RNA", at positions 35 to 154 of the family's 154-position model. The record is from RNAcentral.